GCCAUACACUAUAUAAGAGUAGAGAGAAAAACUAACCUCCAGGUGUUUACCAGAGUGAGCUGUCAGGAAGAUAAAAUCAACAUCAAGACUGUUUUUUGUUUUACAAUAUGGUGAGAGCAAUAGAAAAGUAAUAAUUAGCAUUUAGUGAACACCUGAGGUGAAUGCAAUCACUAGUCCCAUUUUUGCAGAUGAGCAAAGUGUAUCAUUCAGGCUACUGCCCAGCCCUUACAAAGCACCCACUGACACAGCUGACAGCAUGCAAUGCAUCACCAGGCCUCACAGCCCCACUGCCAGGUGCGGCCAGCAGCACCACCAUGUUACUGGGCCUCACAGCCCUGCUGCCAGGUGUCAUCUGCUCAUGCUUCUCUCCAGGAAACAGAGGCUACUGUGCAGGCUCCUCAGCAAACAGAUUAUGCCAUGAUGUUAUUACUAUCUCUUUCAAUAACCAUUCAGUGAAACCUGAAAUGAUAGGACUAUCAUCUGCCAGAGAUGCAGGACUGUAA
RNAcentral lists this long non-coding RNA (503 nucleotides) under Numida meleagris (helmeted guineafowl). RNAcentral's name for it is "lncRNA (ENSNMEG00000021235.1)". Lineage: Eukaryota; Metazoa; Chordata; Aves; Galliformes; Numididae. The record is from RNAcentral.